This 501-nucleotide ribosomal RNA is filed under the name uncultured bacterium. RNAcentral describes it as "partial 16S ribosomal RNA". It matches the Rfam family "Bacterial small subunit ribosomal RNA", at positions 899 to 1397 of the family's 1533-position model. The record is from RNAcentral.
ACUCAAAUGAAUAGACGGGGGCCCGCACAAGCGGUGGAGCAUGUGGUUUAAUUCGACGCAACGCGAAGAACCUUACCUGGGCUAGAAAGUACAGGAACCCGGUCGAAAGGUCGGGGUGCCCUUCGGGGAACCUGUGGUUAGGUGCUGCAUGGCUGUCGUCAGCUCGUGUCGUGAGAUGUUGGGUUAAGUCCCGCAACGAGCGCAACCCUUGCCGUUAGUUGCCAUCAUUAAGUUGGGAACUCUAACGGGACUGCCGACCUUUAAGUCGGAGGAAGGUGGGGAUGACGUCAAGUCCUCAUGGCCCUUACGUCCAGGGCUACACACGUGCUACAAUGGUUGGUACAAAGGGCUGCGAACCGGCGACGGGGAGCCAAUCCCAAAAAGCCAACCUCAGUACAGAUAAGAGUCUGCAACUCGACUCUUUGAAGUCGGAAUCGCUAGUAAUCGCUGAUCAGCAUGGCAGCGGUGAAUACGUUCCCGGGCCUUGCACACACCGCCCGU